This 87-nucleotide transfer RNA is filed under the name Candidatus Roizmanbacteria bacterium CG03_land_8_20_14_0_80_39_12. RNAcentral describes it as "tRNA-Ser". It matches the Rfam family "tRNA". Rfam says of the family: Transfer RNA (tRNA) molecules are approximately 80 nucleotides in length. The record is from RNAcentral. Lineage: Bacteria; Candidatus Roizmaniibacteriota.
GGAGGAGUCGGAUAGUGGACCAUUCCGAUUGAUUGGAAAUCAAUUGUGCGCAAGCACGCGUGGGUUCGAAUCCCACCUCCUCCGCAA